Long non-coding RNA from Gasterosteus aculeatus aculeatus (three-spined stickleback), 983 nucleotides. The record is from Ensembl. NCBI's taxonomy places the organism in Eukaryota, Metazoa, Chordata, Actinopteri, Perciformes, Gasterosteidae.
UCUGAUUAUCAAGAAGCUUUAUUGUCUUCAUCAGAUUGAACAUCAUCAUCUUCCUCUUCAUCAUCGUCACCAUCAUCAUCCUCCUCAUUAUAGUCAUCAUUCUCAAUAUCCUCAUCAUCUUCAUCAUCACCAUCAUCCUCCUUACCACCACCACUACCAUCAUCACCAUCUUCAUCAUCAACACCUGUGUGCUGGACGUCAGGAGGCUGUUAACAUGCAGCUGAGCCGGGCAGACAGACAGGAAGACAGACGGAUAACGGAGGAAACAGACAGACAGACAGAGGUAGGUCAGACAGAACGGACGCCAAAGGGGGGCAGAGAGGUAGACAGCUGGGCAGGUAGUCAAGUAGGGGAACAGACAGGUGGUCGUCAGGCAGAGACAGGCAGGUAGAUAUGAGGACUGUCUCAGGUAGUGGCAGACAGACAGGUGGUCGUCAGGCAGAGACAGGCAGGUAGAUAUGAGGACUGUCUCAGGUAGUGGCAGACAGACAGGUGGUCGUCAGGCAGAGACAGGCAGGUAGAUAUGAGGACUGUCUCAGGUAGUCGCAGACAGACAGGUGGUCGUCAGGCAGAGACAGGCAGGUAGAUAUGAGGACUGUCUCAGGUAGUCGCAGACAGACAGGUGGUCGUCAGGCAGAGACAGGCAGGUAGAUAUGAGGACUGUCUCAGGUAGUCGCAGACAGACAGGUGGUCGUGAGGCAGAGACAGGCAGGUAGAUAUGAGGACUGUCUCAGGUAGUGGCAGACAGACAGGUGGUCGUCAGGCAGAGACAGGCAGGUAGAUAUGAGGACUGUCUCAGGUAGUCGCAGACAGACAGGUGGUCGUCAGGCAGAGACAGGCAGGUAGAUAUGAGGACUGUCUCAGGUAGUCGCAGACAGACAGGUGGUCGUCAGGCAGAGACAGGCAGGUAGAUAUGAGGACUGUCUCAGGUAGUAGCAGACAGACAGGUGGUCGUCAGGCAGAGACAGGCAGGUAGAUAUGAG